CGAAAUUGUAGUUUAACUAGAAUAUUAGCAUUGGAAGCUAAAGAUUAGGUGUCAGUCCUACAUUUCGA
This 68-nucleotide transfer RNA is filed under the name Tylothais aculeata. RNAcentral describes it as "tRNA-Pro". The record is from RNAcentral. Lineage: Eukaryota; Metazoa; Mollusca; Gastropoda; Neogastropoda; Muricidae.